Molecule: transfer RNA, 71 nt
Filed under: Bacillus mycoides
Lineage: Bacteria; Bacillati; Bacillota; Bacilli; Caryophanales; Bacillaceae
Description: tRNA-Arg
Rfam family: tRNA
About the family: Transfer RNA (tRNA) molecules are approximately 80 nucleotides in length. Their secondary structure includes four short double-helical elements and three loops (D, anti-codon, and T loops).
Source: RNAcentral
AGUCCCAUAGCUUAAUCUGGUUUAAAGCGCCCUUUCUGGGGAAGUUGCAGGUUCAAGCCCUGCUGGGCUUA